RNAcentral lists this ribosomal RNA (300 nucleotides) under uncultured Lactobacillus sp. RNAcentral's name for it is "bacterial SSU rRNA". It matches the Rfam family "Bacterial small subunit ribosomal RNA", at positions 496 to 795 of the family's 1533-position model. The record is from RNAcentral. Lineage: Bacteria; Bacillati; Bacillota; Bacilli; Lactobacillales; Lactobacillaceae.
GCUUGCUGUUGGCCAGCAGCUGGGGUUAUCCGUAGGGGCGCGGCGUUUUCCGGAGUUCUGGGGCGUAAAUGGCUCGUAGUCGGUGUGUUGCGUCGGUCGUGAAAGCCACCGGCUUAACCGGGGGUCUGCGGUGGAUACGGGCAGACUAGAGGCAGGUAGGGGAGAACGGAAUUCCCGGUGUAGCGGUGAAAUGCGCAGAUAUCGGGAGGAACACCGGUGGCGAAGGCGGUUCUCUGGGCCUGUACUGACGCUGAGGAGCGAAAGCGUGGGGAGCGAACAGGAUUAGAUACCCUUGUAUUC